CCCUUAGAUGUUCUGGGCCGCACGCGUGCUACAAUGGCUUAAACAAAGUGUCGUUUUACUUCCUUAGCUGAUAAGCUUGGGUAAACAUUCGAAACUAAGCCUUGCUGGGGCUUGAUCAUUGUAAUUAUUGAUCACUAACAAGGAAUUCCUUGUAAAUGCAAGUCAUCAACUUGCGUUGAAUACGUCCCUGCCCUUUGUACACACCGCCCGUCGCUUCUACCGAUGAAUGAUCCGGUGAACACUUUGGACUCAUGGUCUUCUAGGUUAAUAGCCUUCGACAUUUGAGGAAGUUGUGUAAACCUUAUCAUUUAGAGGAAGAAGAANUCGUANCA
Molecule: ribosomal RNA, 332 nt
Filed under: uncultured eukaryote
Lineage: Eukaryota
Description: partial 18S ribosomal RNA
Rfam family: Eukaryotic small subunit ribosomal RNA
Source: RNAcentral